GUAAAGCUAGCCUGAGUUGGCCAGCUCUGCCAGGGCCUUUAACUACCAGUGAUUUGAUUUAUAAGUUCUGUAGACCACCAUGACCCUGGCCUAGGCUAGGGUCAUGUGUGCUAGGGCCACAACAUAUUAGUGCAGGCAACCCCAUAAGAUACAGUUUAGGGGAAAGGAAAAAAUCCAGGACAUGUCCUGUUCUAAUCAACUUUCAUUUUCUACGACGGCCAGUAACUGAAGAUAGACAACCACAAACAGUGAGUUUCACUCUUCCUGGGGAAACAGCAUUGUGGCCCCAGCUCCCAGGGCCAGAAUGGCAGAGGCCCUACUGCUUUAUACCAGUGUGGCUAUAUGGAGUUCCAGACAUAGGACAGUAAUGAAAUGCUGGCUGUAGCAUGAGCCUGUUUGAGGACAAAAGCAGUUGCAGAACACUGCAGGACAACCACCACCACCUCCUCCAAGGCAGCAUGCUGAUCCCUCACUAUAUCCUCUUUCCAUCCCUCUCUAUUUUUAAUAUAAAGACCACACUGAAGUGUGUCAGCAGCUGACGGUGAUGAGGUGGGCUCUCCACUCCCAUAACUGUGUUAACUUCAGACUUAAAAAUCCAGUUCUUCACACAUGUCCCACAUGCAAG
This 625-nucleotide long non-coding RNA is filed under the name Cricetulus griseus (Chinese hamster). RNAcentral's name for it is "lncRNA (ENSCGRG00015036906.1)". Lineage: Eukaryota; Metazoa; Chordata; Mammalia; Rodentia; Cricetidae. The record is from RNAcentral.